RNAcentral lists this ribosomal RNA (484 nucleotides) under uncultured bacterium. RNAcentral describes it as "partial 16S ribosomal RNA". It matches the Rfam family "Bacterial small subunit ribosomal RNA", at positions 30 to 507 of the family's 1533-position model. The record is from RNAcentral.
AUUGAACGCUGGCGGCAGGCCUAACACAUGCAAGUCGAGCGGAUGAAGGGGGCUUGCUCCUGGAUUCAGCGGCGGACGGGUGAGUAAUGCCUAGGAAUCUGCCUGGUAGUGGGGGAUAACGUCCGGAAACGGGCGCUAAUACCGCAUACGUCCUGAGGGAGAAAGUGGGGGAUCUUCGGACCUCACGCUAUCAGAUGAGCCUAGGUCGGAUUAGCUAGUUGGUGGGGUAAAGGCCUACCAAGGCGACGAUCCGUAACUGGUCUGAGAGGAUGAUCAGUCACACUGGAACUGAGACACGGUCCAGACUCCUACGGGAGGCAGCAGUGGGGAAUAUUGGACAAUGGGCGAAAGCCUGAUCCAGCCAUGCCGCGUGUGUGAAGAAGGUCUUCGGAUUGUAAAGCACUUUAAGUUGGGAGGAAGGGCAGUAAGUUAAUACCUUGCUGUUUUGACGUUACCAACAGAAUAAGCACCGGCUAACUUUGUG